This 433-nucleotide ribosomal RNA is filed under the name uncultured bacterium. RNAcentral's name for it is "partial 16S ribosomal RNA". It matches the Rfam family "Bacterial small subunit ribosomal RNA", at positions 29 to 507 of the family's 1533-position model. The record is from RNAcentral.
AACGAACGCUGGCGGCAUGCCUAACACAUGCAAGUCGAACGAGACCUUCGGGUCUAGUGGCGCACGGGUGCGUAACGCGUGGGAACCUGCCCUUAGAUUCGGAAUAACUCCCCGAAAGGGGUGCUAAUACCGGAUAAUGUCUUCGGACCAAAGAUUUAUCGCCUUUGGAUGGGCCCGCGUUGGAUUAGCUAGUUGGUAGUGUAAAAGCCUACCAAGGCGACGAUCCAUAGCUGGUCUGAGAGGAUGAUCAGCCACACUGGGACUGAGACACGGCCCAGACUCCUACGGGAGGCAGCAGUGGGGAAUAUUGGACAAUGGGCGAAAGCCUGAUCCAGCAAUGCUGCGUGAGUGAUGAAGGCCUUAGGGUUGUAAAGCUCUUUUACCCGGGAUGAUAAUGACAGUACCGGGAGAAUAAGCUCCGGCUAACUCCGUG